AAGCUCGUAGUUGGAUUUCUGUUGUAUUUUUAUAAUAUUAUUAAGGUAAUAUUUAUAAUAUCAACAUCCUUCCUAUUAUAUUUUUAAUAUAUAGGAAAUUUUACUUUGAGAAAAUUAGAGUGCUUAAAGCAGGCAACUGCCUUGAAUACUCCAGCAUGGAAUAAUAAGUAAGGACUUUUGUCUUUCUUGUUGGUUCUAGGAUAAAAGUAAUGGUUAAUAGGGACAGUUGGGGGCAUUCGUAUUUAACAGUCAGAGGUGAAAUUCUUAGAUUUGUUAAAGACGAACUACUGCGAAAGCAUUUGCCAAGGAUGUUUUCAUUAAUCAAGAACGAAAGUUAGGGGAUCGAAGACGAUCAGAUACCGUCGUAGUCUUAACCAUAAACUAUGCCGACUAGAGAUUGGAGGUUGUUCCUUACUCCUUCAGCACCUUA
Molecule: ribosomal RNA, 430 nt
Filed under: Cryptosporidium serpentis
Lineage: Eukaryota; Apicomplexa; Conoidasida; Eucoccidiorida; Cryptosporidiidae
Also listed under: 2 other names
Description: SSU rRNA
Rfam family: Eukaryotic small subunit ribosomal RNA
Source: RNAcentral